AAGGGUAAUUGUUUUACAGAAUUUUUGUUUUCUGCCAACUAUCAACGUGAGUCAGCCAUCGGUAUACAUAUGUCCCCCUUGGUCUGAACCCCUUCCAUCUCUCUCCCAUCCCACCCCCCUAGAUUCUUACAGAGCCCCAGUUUGAGUUCCAGGAGUUAUACAGUAAAUUCCCAUUGGCUAUCUAUUUUACAUAUGCUAAUGUAAGUUUCCCUGUUACUUUUUCCAUAGAGCUCACCCUCUCCUUCCUCCCCCUACCCUGUCAAUAAAUCUGUUCUCUAUGUCUGUUUCUCCAUUGCUGCCCUGCAAAUAAAUUCAUCAGUACCAUCUUUCUAGAUUCCAUAUAUGUAUGCGCGUUAGUAUAGGAGAUUUAUCUUUCUCAUUCAGACUGACUUCACUCUGAAUAAUAAGCUCUAGGUUCAUCCACCUCAUUAGACUAGACUCAAAUGCGCUCCUUUUAUGGCUGAAGAGAUUUCUAAUUGAAAAGGCCGUCAAUUAUCCAAGAAAGGAAGAACAAAGAAGGAAUGUUCUGUCCCACAGAUAUCUCCAGGCUCGUCCCAGAGAGGCGGAGCCCAGGGAGAAGUCCAGCCCGGCAGAUUGGGCCUCCGCUGGGGUGACUCAGGCUCCAGUCCAGGGUGGUGAUUGAAGGGGUACUGUGGGCCAGAGAGAAGGCUGCUAUUCCUUCCCUUGCCGGGUUCCACCGGUUUCAAGUCUCAGUUUUCCGCAGCCUUGAGGUGUGUGGGAUGGGGUGGAGGCCUCCUGGCCUCCUGGAGGCGAUCUGGCCGCGGGUCUGGCAGCCUCCGCAGCUGCUGGCUGUUCAGACCCUCCUGGGCCCGGCGCUGUGUGGCUUGGGCCUCUUCUUGACGGGACUGUCGCUCCAUUCCGGACAAGCAGCCGGCUCCUGGCCUUGCGAGUCUCGCCAGCGUUUCUGGCCGCUCUCGACGCGGGACCGUCCGCGUGUCCGGGGCAAGCGUGGCGCGACAGCCCACAGGCGCAGUAGUGCGCGUCCCCGCAGAACUCGGGGCUUAGGCAGGAGGGGCGGCUCAGCGCCGGGAAGUUAUCCAGAGCCCAGGCCCAGGCCUGUUCUCGGUUCAGGCCCGGAGGCAAGGCGGGCUCUGCCCUCCUCCAAGCCUGCGCUUCCAUGGCUUCAGCCUCCUCACCAGGCCGAGAGUGCAAUGGGUCUAGCACAGAGGCGACUGAUUCUGCUAGGUGCGGAGUGUGCCUUUUAUAGCGCCUGCCCGACAAGGUUUUGGGAAACCCGGGAGUUGAUAGG
RNAcentral lists this long non-coding RNA (1270 nucleotides) under Bos grunniens (domestic yak). RNAcentral's name for it is "lncRNA (ENSBGRG00000015621.1)". The record is from RNAcentral. Lineage: Eukaryota; Metazoa; Chordata; Mammalia; Artiodactyla; Bovidae.